UGAGUCAAUACCACGUGCGCAUGAGAGCAGAUUUUAGUGGAUAAAAGUGGGUCACAGGCCUUCUCCGGUCUUCUAUACCAUUGUGGUGCCACUUUGAACUGUUCUCUGGUGCAAAUUCCCUGAGACCGACCACCACAAUAUCCCCCUUGCCUAGUUGUGGUCUAUUCUGCCUUGGCUGCACACGUUGCCCUGCGACCUUCCAUGGAUUCAAGUCAGCUGUAAGACUAGCUCCGACUCAUCCUUCUAAGGCGUCCCUAUCCUUCUACAUAAGGUUCUGUAAACCGUGGCACAAUACUAUUCUUCUCCGCGUUAAAGGAUAAGAAAUAUAAGAACCCAGAGACACUCUCCAGUCAUAUGACACAACGAUCGUGCCGUAAAAUGCUCUUGACUU
This 391-nucleotide long non-coding RNA is filed under the name Elaeis guineensis (African oil palm). RNAcentral describes it as "long non-coding RNA (EGUI_LNC023630)". The record is from RNAcentral. Lineage: Eukaryota; Viridiplantae; Streptophyta; Magnoliopsida; Arecales; Arecaceae.